AUUGGACGCUGGCGGCAGGCCUAACACGUGCAAGUCGAACGGUAACAGGAAACAGCUUGCUGUUUCGCUGACGAGUGGCGGACGGGUGAGUAAUGUCUGGGAAGCUGCCUGAUGGAGGGGGAUAACUACUGGAAACGGUAGCUAAUACCGCAUAACGUCGCAAGACCAAAGAGGGGGACCUUCGGGCCUCUUGCCAUCGGAUGUGCCCAGAUGGGAUUAGCUAGUAGGUGGGGUAACGGCUCACCUAGGCGACGAUCCCUAGCUGGUCUGAGAGGAUGACCAGCCACACUGGAACUGAGACACGGUCCAGACUCCUACGGAAGGCAGCAGUGGGGAAUAUUGCACAAUGGGCGCAAGCCUGAUGCAGCCAUGCCGCGUGUAUGAAGAAGGCCUUCGGGUUGUAAAGUACUUUCAGCGGGGAGGAAGGGAGUAAAGUUAAUACCUUUGCUCAUUGACGUUACCCGCAGAAGAAGCACCGGCUAACUCCGUGCCAGCCGCCGCGGUAA
RNAcentral lists this ribosomal RNA (506 nucleotides) under uncultured bacterium. Its description in RNAcentral is "partial 16S ribosomal RNA". It matches the Rfam family "Bacterial small subunit ribosomal RNA", at positions 30 to 523 of the family's 1533-position model. The record is from RNAcentral.